RNAcentral lists this ribosomal RNA (253 nucleotides) under uncultured bacterium. Its description in RNAcentral is "partial 16S ribosomal RNA". It matches the Rfam family "Bacterial small subunit ribosomal RNA", at positions 524 to 776 of the family's 1533-position model. The record is from RNAcentral.
UACGUAGGGUGCAAGCGUUGUCCGGAAUUAUUGGGCGUAAAGAGCUCGUAGGCGGUCUGUCGCGUCUGCUGUGAAAACUCAGGGCUUAACCCCGAGCUUGCAGUGGGUACGGGCAGACUAGAGUGCGGUAGGGGAGACUGGAAUUCCUGGUGUAGCGGUGAAAUGCGCAGAUAUCAGGAGGAACACCGGUGGCGAAGGCGGGUCUCUGGGCCGUAACUGACGCUGAGGAGCGAAAGCAUGGGGAGCGAACAGG